AUGGUGGAGUCAAGUGGGGCUGAGACGAGGCCCCAGAUUUGGGUCACCAUCAAGACCCCCAAGGACAAGGAGGAGAUCGUGAUCUGCGAUCAAGCCUCCAUCAAGGAGUUCAAGGAGGAAAUCUCCAGGAGGUUUAAGGCUCAGCAGGAUCAGCUGGUCCUGAUCUUUGCAGGCAAGAUCCUCAAGGACAGGGACACCCUGAGCCAGCAUGGACAUGGCAUCAAGGACGGGUUCACAGUCCACCUAGUAAUCAAAACCCCUCAGAAGGCUCAAGAUCCAGUGACUGCCGCUGCUUCUCCUCCAUCCACUCCCGACUCUGCCUCUGCACCCUCCACCACACCUGCCUCACCUGCCGCCCCUGUCCAGCCCUGCAGCUCUGGCAAUACCACUUCAGAUGCUGGCAGUGGAGGGGGGGCCCUCAAGUGCUACUACAUCGAUCCUCUCUGGCUUCGGGGCCAUCCUGGGUCUGGGCAUCCUGGGCCUGGGUUCCACCAACUUUAUGGAGCUACAGCAACAGAUGCAGAGACAGCUCACGUCCAAUCCUGAGAUGCUGUCGCAGAUCAUGGAGAACCCUUUGGUCCAGGAUAUGAUGUCAAACCCUGACCUGAUGCGCCACAUGAUCAUGGCUAACCCCCAGAUGCAUCAGCUGAUGGAGAGGAACCCGGAGAUCAGCCAUGUGCUCAUCAACCCAGAGCUCAUGAGGCGACAAUGGAGCUUGCUCGUAACCCAGCCAUGAUGCAAGAAAUGAUGCGGAACCAGGUCCGCGCCCUCAGCAACCUGGAAAUGUCCCAGGAUGGUAUAAUGCCCCCCACCGCCACAUGUACACGGACAUCCAGGAGGCCAUGUUCACUGCUGCUUGGGAACAGUUUGGCAACAACCUCUUCUCUUCCCUGGCCGGGAACUCUGACAACUCAUCCUCCCAACCUUUUUCGGACUGAGAAUCGAGAGCCCCUCCCUAACCCCUGGAGCCCCUCGCCCUCCACCUCCCAGGCCCCCGGGUCCGGUGGGGAGGGCACCAGAGGAUCGGGGACCAGCCAGGUGCACCCGACAGUCUCAAACCACUUUGGGAUCAAUGCGGCUAGCCUGGGGUCAGGGAUGUUCAACUGCCCAGAAAUGCAGGCACUCCUCCAGCAGAUUUCUGAAAACCCUCAGCUGAUGCAGAAUGUCAUCUCGACCCCUUACAUGCGCACCAUGAUGCAGAUGCUCGCCCAGAGUCCUGACUUUGCUGCUCAGAUGAUGGUGAAUGUGCCACUGUUUGCAGGGAAUUCACAGCUUCGGGAGCAGCUCCGUCUGCAACUCCCUGUGUUUCUGCAGCAGAUGCAAAACCCAGAGUCUCUUUCCAUCCUCACCAAUCCCUGGGCCAUGCAGGCCUUGCUGCAGAUCCAGCAGGGAAGCCCCUGGGCUGGUACUUGGGACACCCUGGACCUCGGUACCUCUGGCAGGCAGCAACUCUGGAUCUUCGGCAGAGGCCCCACUUCUUCCCCAGGCAUGCCAGCCACAUCUCCUCCCGGUGCGGGUUCCAAUGCCCAGCAACAACUCAUGCAGCAGAUGAUCCAACUUUUGUCCGAAGUGGGAACUCUUAGGUGCCGAUGCCAGAAGUGAGAUCUCAACAGCAGCUGGAACAACUCAACUCCAUGGGCUUUAUCAACCGGGAGGCCAAUCUACAGGCCCUGAUCGCCACAGGAGGGGACAUCAAUGCUGCUAUUGAGAGACUCCCGGGCUCCCAGCUCUCCUGA
Molecule: RNA transcript, 1736 nt
Organism: Mus pahari (shrew mouse)
Lineage: Eukaryota; Metazoa; Chordata; Mammalia; Rodentia; Muridae
Gene name: ubiquilin-4-like
Exons: 2
Source: RefSeq, a predicted model, not a curated record